UACGUAGGGACCGAGCGUUGUCCGGAUUCAUUGGGCGUAAAGAGCUCGUAGGCGGCUGUUCAAGUCGAACGUGCAAACUCGGAGCUCAACUCCGAGCCUGCGUUCGAUACUGGACGGCUAGAGUCUGGUAGGGGGAUCUGGAAUUCCUGGUGUAGCGGUGGAAUGCGCAGAUAUCAGGAGGAACACCCGUGGCGAAGGCGGCUCUCUGGGACGGUACUGACGCUGAGACGCGAAAGCGUGGGGAGCGAACAGG
Molecule: ribosomal RNA, 253 nt
Filed under: uncultured bacterium
Lineage: Bacteria
Description: partial 16S ribosomal RNA
Rfam family: Bacterial small subunit ribosomal RNA
Source: RNAcentral